ACUAUGUAGUAGUUAAAACCGCAGACAGCAGGUGGCUUGCCUUAAUUUCCUGCCGAGGUUACUGAAUCUGAUUUUAGUACUCGCAUUGUGUCUGCAAUGUGAUUUUUUAUUGUAAAA
The sequence is a regulatory RNA element, 117 nucleotides long. It matches the Rfam family "Ribosomal protein L10 leader". From Rfam's summary of the family: This family is a putative r-protein leader autoregulatory structure found in B. subtilis and other low-GC Gram-positive bacteria. The record is from Rfam.